GAUGAACGCUAGCGGCAGGCNUAAUACAUGCAAGUCGAACGGUAACAUUGGUGCUUGCACCAGAUGACGAGUGGCGCACGGGUGCGUAACGCGUAUGCAACCUACCUUUUACUAGAGUAUAGCCCAGAGAAAUUUGGAUUAAUCCUCUAUAACAUCUUUUAAUUUCAUGAUUUUAAGAUUAAAGUUUUAACGGUAAAAGAUGGGCAUGCGUCCUAUUAGUUUGUAGGUGAGGUAACGGCUCACCUAGACUACGAUAGGUAGGGGCCCUGAGAGGGGGAUCCCCCACACUGGUACUGAGACACGGACCAGACUCCUACGGGAGGCAGCAGUAAGGAAUAUUGGACAAUGGACGAAAGUCUGAUCCAGCCAUGCCGCGUGCAGGAUGACAGCCCUACGGGUUGUAAACUGCUUUUAUACUAGGAAGAAACUACUCCGACGUGUCGGAGCUUGACGGUACUGUAAGAAUAAGGAUCGGCUAACUCCGUGCCUGCG
RNAcentral lists this ribosomal RNA (492 nucleotides) under uncultured bacterium. RNAcentral describes it as "bacterial SSU rRNA". It matches the Rfam family "Bacterial small subunit ribosomal RNA", at positions 28 to 513 of the family's 1533-position model. The record is from RNAcentral.